GCGUUAUCCGGAUUCACUGGGUUUAAAGGGUGCGUAGGUGGGAAUGUAAGUCAGUGGUGAAAUCUUUGAGCUUAACUCAGAAACUGCCAUUGAUACUAUGUUUCUUGAAUUUUCCGGAGGUCAGCGGAAUAUGUCAUGUAGCGGUGAAAUGCUUAGAUAUGACAUAGAACACCAAUUGCGAAGGCAGCUGACUACAGGGAUAUUGACACUGAGGCACGAAAGCGUG
This 226-nucleotide ribosomal RNA is filed under the name uncultured bacterium. RNAcentral describes it as "partial 16S ribosomal RNA". It matches the Rfam family "Bacterial small subunit ribosomal RNA", at positions 538 to 763 of the family's 1533-position model. The record is from RNAcentral.